UGAGUCUGUACGAUGCGGGUUCUGUUUUUGAGUGAGUCUGUACGAUACGGGUUCUGCGUUUGAGUGAGUCUUCUGCGUUUGAGUGAGUCUGUACGAUGCGGGUUCUGCGUUUGAGUGAGUCUGUAUGAUGCGGGUUCUGUGUUUGAGUGAGUCUGUACGAUACGGGUUCUGCGUUUGAGUGAGUCUUCUGCGUUUGAGUGAGUCUGUACGAUGCGGGUUCUGCGUUUGAGUGAGUCUGUAUGAUGCGGGUUCUGUGUUUGAGUGAGUCUGUACGAUACGGGUUCUGCGUUUGAGUGAGUCUUCUGCGUUUGAGUGAGUCUGUACGAUGCGGGUUCUGCGUUUGAGUGAGUCUGUAUGAUGCGGGUUCUGUGUUUGAGUGAGUCUGUACGAUACGGGUUCUGCGUUUGAGUGAGUCUUCUGCGUUUGAGUGAGUCUGUACGAUGCGGGUUCUGCGUUUGAGUGAGUCUGUAUGAUGCGGGUUCUGUGUUUGAGUGAGUCUGUACGAUACGGGUUCUGCGUUUGAGUGAGUCUUCUGCGUUUGAGUGAGUCUGUACGAUGCGGGUUCUGCGUUUGAGUGAGUCUGUAUGAUGCGGGUUCUGUGUUUGAGUGAGUCUGUACGAUACGGGUUCUGCGUUUGAGUGAGUCUUCUGCGUUUGAGUGAGUCUGUACGAUGCGGGUUCUGCGUUUGAGUGAGUCUGUAUGAUGCGGGUUCUGUGUUUGAGUGAGUCUGUACGAUACGGGUUCUGCGUUUGAGUGAGUCUUCUGCGUUUGAGUGAGUCUGUACGAUGCGGGUUCUGCGUUUGAGUGAGUCUGUAUGAUGCGGGUUCUGUGUUUGAGUGAGUCUGUACGAUACGGGUUCUGCGUUUGAGUGAGUCUUCUGCGUUUGAGUGAGUCUGUACGAUGCGGGUUCUGCGUUUGAGUGAGUCUGUAUGAUGCGGGUUCUGUGUUUGAGUGAGUCUGUACGAUACGGGUUCUGCGUUUGAGUGAGUCUUCUGCGUUUGAGUGAGUCUGUACGAUGCGGGUUCUGCGUUUGAGUGAGUCUGUAUGAUGCGGGUUCUGUGUUUGAGUGAGUCUGUACGAUACGGGUUCUGCGUUUGAGUGAGUCUUCUGCGUUUGAGUGAGUCUGUACGAUGCGGGUUCUGCGUUUGAGUGAGUCUGUAUGAUGCGGGUUCUGUGCUUGAGUGAGUCUGUACAAUAAGGUGAGUCUUUACGAUACGGGUUCUGUGCUUGAGUGAGUCUGUACGAUACGGGUUCUGUGCUUGAGGAGUCUGUACGGUACGGGUUCUGUGCUUGAGUGAGUCUGUACAAUAAGGGUUCUGUGUUUGAGGAGUCUGUACGGUACGGGUUCUGUGCUUGAGUGAGUCUGUACAAUAAGGGUUCUGUGUUUGAGGAGUCUGUACGGUACGGGUUCUGUGCUUGAGUGAGUCUGUACGAUAAGGUGAGUCUGUAUGAUGCAGGUUCUGUGUUUGAGUGAGUCUG
This is a long non-coding RNA of Sinocyclocheilus grahami, 1479 nucleotides long. RefSeq lists it as uncharacterized. Lineage: Eukaryota; Metazoa; Chordata; Actinopteri; Cypriniformes; Cyprinidae. The record is from RefSeq and is a predicted model, not a curated record. The transcript has 3 exons.